AGUAAAGCAGCUAAAAGAGUUUUGUGUAUUAUGGGAAAAACAUAAUAGAAUUUAGUGUAUAUGAUGGCAAGAAACGUGCAUGUUUGAUGGAACUUGAAAGUUGGUUUAUAGGUACUUUUUCUUUGAUGAUGUUCUGACAUUAGAGCUUCGGGGGUAUAUCUUCUUUUGGAGUAUUGUCCUCAAUAUCUGUUUACAUUCAGAAAUACUUGUCAAUAUUAGAUUACGAAAGUUAAGAUCGACAAUUUGAGUAUUGAUGUGUGUUCUUGAUUCUACCUUCUCCAUUUUCGACUCCAGAGCUGGUCUCAGAGGAGGAGUAACCACAGCAGGUGGUGCGGUACCUCCUCCACAGACAAAAAUCUUCUUGAGAAGGAGGGAUAAAGUUCUUUUGCCAAUAAUUGCGGUGUCAUUAGCGUCCACACCUACAUCUUUGCCUUUACUGAAUCCAAAGGUUAAUUGUCUGUUAAGAAAUAUAUUUGAUGGACAAUGCUUGCUGACUUCAAAUUCCAAGGUCGGGCCCGAUUGCUUAAGGGAAGAUGAUGAAUUCUCUUGUGACCUUUUUGGCCGUGCUUCAUUCAGAUUCUCGUCUCCAAACGUUCCAAUCGCCAGCAAUACAUGAGACCAGUUGCUGAAUUCUUCUGGGAUCAUCAAAGUGAUGCAGAAAAUCCGGGUAGCUGCUCUGUUGAUGGAAGUGCAUGGAGGAAGAUGGACAAAGAAGAAAAGGACAUGAAAGACUGAGCUAUCACGCACGAAGAAGAUUUGAGGAAGAACAUCUCUUUUUUAUCAGAAAUAUAAAAUAAUAUAUAUGGAUGGCCAAUGGAAAGAGAAUCCUCCAAAAGCAGUAGCCUGGAUUUGUUAUGGACACGUGAAGGUGUCCAUAAUUCAUAAGGUGGGCGGUGGAAGCUUUAAACAAGUGCAUAUCGGACGGACCAUCGAAUCAGGCUUUGCAUGUUUACAUAAAGGAGCAGGUGAGUAAUUGUAUACAAAAUAAUGCCUCCUUUCUGAAUGGAUGACCCUACACUUUGAUGUCAUUUCUCCCUUCAAACAGUAGUAUUCGAAGAAUUGUCUCGACUGCGUUUGGGCACAAGUUGAGUUGAAUGGAGUGACUAUUAUACACCAUUCACUGUUUGAACUUCUUGUUGCGAUAGAUGAAGUUGGUUACACUGAUAUUUCACCUAUUAUGAAGCUACAGAGAAACCCACAAUUAGCUACUCAAUACUCAUUAUCUAACUUUGUUUUUUUU
Cucumis sativus (cucumber) is the source of this 1240-nucleotide long non-coding RNA. RefSeq lists it as uncharacterized. The transcript is spliced from 6 exons. The record is from RefSeq and is a predicted model, not a curated record. Lineage: Eukaryota; Viridiplantae; Streptophyta; Magnoliopsida; Cucurbitales; Cucurbitaceae.